This 258-nucleotide ribozyme is filed under the name unclassified sequences. RNAcentral describes it as "Hairpin ribozyme 2 from viruses-like metatranscriptomes". It matches the Rfam family "Hairpin ribozyme 2 from viruses-like metatranscriptomes". The record is from Rfam by way of RNAcentral.
UAAAUGGGUUAUUGUUGCCCAGGGCUGUCCGUGGUACCGGGAGAUUGGCACCCGAGAGGUCCCAAGCCUGCAUCAAUCGGCAGAAAUGCGUAAGACCGAUGGCAAGGUACAUCUUUGAGAGUCUUGUCGCACAGGGACGCGCCAAUCCGGAGAAUGGGGUGAAACUCCUCUGAAAUCUGGUGUUGCUUCAUUCCAUGGGAAGCCCAAACAAAGUGAAACACGCAUUUAGUUGGCGCAUUUGCGGUAUAUUAACUUUGA